Molecule: long non-coding RNA, 778 nt
Organism: Mastomys coucha (southern multimammate mouse)
Lineage: Eukaryota; Metazoa; Chordata; Mammalia; Rodentia; Muridae
Exons: 4
Source: RefSeq, a predicted model, not a curated record
GACCUCAACAGAACUGAUGCGGGGGAGGGGGACCCAAAUGUUUGCUCCAAGUUUUCUAUUAGAAGACUGAGGAUCAAGCUGGGGAGGUGACUCACUGGGUAAAACACUUGCCAGACGAGCAUGGAGACCUGAGCUUGGGUUUCUAAUGCAGGUUUCUGACAGUCCAUCAUGCCAGGAGCAAGUGGCAGAGCAAAACCAAUCUCAUUAUGGUCAGGCAGCAAAAAGCAUACACCCUCCAGUGACCUAAGGCCUCCCACCAAGCACCACCUUUUAAAAGCAACACUACCAGCCAAUAGCGCCACUUGGGAGAGCAAGCCAUAUGACUUUUGGUCUAACCUGCAAGUCAAGGAGAGCCAGCUUUCUUGCCUGCAAUUGCUAGUCACAUAUCUUCAGAAUCUGAUGAGAAGGAGUACCCUGGGGCAUCCUGACAUCAGAGAACCUCUCCCAUCGUGGGCUUCUUUUUCCUUCACUUGCUGAGAGCUUCACGUCCAUGGCACAAGACUGAGACAUAGACUCACAGUUUAUAAGGUAUACUCGAAGGAUGGAAGAUCAUCCAUCUCUCGAGCAGGAGUGGAGGAAGACUAAUGAGAACAUGCUGCACACAAAAAGCCUUGUGGUGUCCAAGACCCAUGGUAUUUUUGAUCAAGCCAAGGUGAUUUUCUCAUCACCUUAUUUGCUGGUAUGGGGGGAAAAACUUUUUAAGAUAAAAGCUCAGGCUGGAGAAAUGACUCAGCAGUUAAGAGCACUGACUGCUCUUUCAGAGGUCUGGAGUUCAAUU